RNAcentral lists this ribosomal RNA (490 nucleotides) under uncultured bacterium. RNAcentral describes it as "partial 16S ribosomal RNA". It matches the Rfam family "Bacterial small subunit ribosomal RNA", at positions 30 to 507 of the family's 1533-position model. The record is from RNAcentral.
AUUGAACGCUGGCGGCAGGCCUAACACAUGCAAGUCGAACGGUAACAGGAAGAAGCUUGCUUCUUUGCUGACGAGUGGCGGACGGGUGAGUAAUGUCUGGGAAACUGCCUGAUGGAGGGGGAUAACUACUGGAAACGGUAGCUAAUACCGCAUAACGUCGCAAGACCAAAGAGGGGGACCUUCGGGCCUCUUGCCAUCGGAUGUGCCCAGAUGGGAUUAGCUAGUAGGUGGGGUAACGGCUCACCUAGGCGACGAUCCCUAGCUGGUCUGAGAGGAUGACCAGCCACACUGGAACUGAGACACGGUCCAGACUCCUACGGGAGGCAGCAGUGGGGAAUAUUGCACAAUGGGCGCAAGCCUGAUGCAGCCAUGUCGCGUGUAUGAAGAAGGCCUUCGGGUUGUAAAGUACUUUCAGCGGGGAGGAAGGGAGUAAAGUUAAUACCUUUGCUCAUUGACGUUACCCGCAGAAGAAGCACCGGCUAACUCCGUG